AUACUUACCUGGCAGGGGAGAUACCAUGAUCACGAAGGUGGUUUUCCCAGGGCGAGGCUUAUCCAUUGCACUCCGGAUGUGCUGACCCCUGCGAUUUCCCCAAAUGUGGGAAACUCGACUGCAUAAUUUGUGGUAGUAAUAAAUAAAUAAUGAUUAUUUUAAAA
RNAcentral lists this small nuclear RNA (164 nucleotides) under Erinaceus europaeus (western European hedgehog). RNAcentral's name for it is "U1 spliceosomal RNA". It matches the Rfam family "U1 spliceosomal RNA". Rfam says of the family: U1 is a small nuclear RNA (snRNA) component of the spliceosome (involved in pre-mRNA splicing). Its 5' end forms complementary base pairs with the 5' splice junction, thus defining the 5' donor site of an intron. The record is from Rfam by way of RNAcentral. Lineage: Eukaryota; Metazoa; Chordata; Mammalia; Eulipotyphla; Erinaceidae.